AUUCCUACGGGAGGCAGCAGUGGGGAAUUUUCCGCAAUGGGCGAAAGCUUGACGGAGCAACGCCGCGUGAGGGAGGAAGGUCUUUGGAUUGUAAACCUCUUUUCUCAAGGAAGAAGUUCUGACGGUACUUGAGGAAUCAGCCUCGGCUAACUCCGUGCCAGCAGCCGCGGUAAUAAU
RNAcentral lists this ribosomal RNA (177 nucleotides) under uncultured bacterium. RNAcentral describes it as "partial 16S ribosomal RNA". It matches the Rfam family "Bacterial small subunit ribosomal RNA", at positions 335 to 526 of the family's 1533-position model. The record is from RNAcentral.